UUUAGGAAUGUUCUGUGUUUUGUGUUUUGUGGAAUGGUUCAGGGAAAAGUCUUUGGUGAGGAGGAUAAGAAUAGAAAAAGGAAGGUUUUAUGGUCCGGAAUAUUAUAUUGCAAGACCUCGUCUGACCAUAAUUGGUGAAUGUGUUUAUAUAACAGAUACAAGAAACAAUAUUUACGAAAUACCUGGACAUAUUGAAGAGGAAACAUCUGAAGAUGAUGAAAUCCGGGGAUUAAAAGAUAAUCCAAAAUAUUUACUCC
This is a long non-coding RNA of Octopus sinensis (East Asian common octopus), 257 nucleotides long. RefSeq lists it as uncharacterized. The record is from RefSeq and is a predicted model, not a curated record. The transcript has 3 exons. Lineage: Eukaryota; Metazoa; Mollusca; Cephalopoda; Octopoda; Octopodidae.